RNAcentral lists this ribosomal RNA (470 nucleotides) under uncultured bacterium. Its description in RNAcentral is "bacterial SSU rRNA". It matches the Rfam family "Bacterial small subunit ribosomal RNA", at positions 26 to 518 of the family's 1533-position model. The record is from RNAcentral.
AGGAUUAACGCUGGCGGCGUGCCUAACACAUGCAAGUCGAACGAAAUAUUUCGGAUAUUUAGUGGCGAACGGGUGAGUAAUGUACAGGUAAUGUACCUUCGUACUGCGAAUAACAAGACUGAAAAGUUUGCUAAUACGGAAUAGUUUCAUUAGGGGGCAUCCUUUGAUGAACAAAGAUUUAUCGUGCGGAGAUCAGCCUGUAUCCUAUUAGUUAGUUGGUGGGGUAAUGGCCUACCAAGACGACGAUGGGUAACUGGUCUGAGAGGAUGAGCAGUCACAUUGGAACUGAGAUACGGUCCAAACUCCUACGGGAGGCAGCAGUGAGGAAUUUUGCGCAAUGGGGGAAACCCUGAACCGCAGCAACGCCGCGUGAGUGAAGACGGCCUUCGGGUUGUAAAGCUCUGUCGUGUAUGACGAGUAGGGACGGUAAUACACAAGGAAGCCUCGGCUAACUACGUGCCAGCCGCCGC